CAAUAGCGUAUAUUAAAGCUGUUGCGGUUAAAAAGCUCGUAGUUGGAUUUCUGUCAAGGACGACUGGUCCGCCCUCCGGGUGAGCACAUAGUUUGGUCUUGGCAUCUUGCUGGAAGCUGUGCUGUGCUUGGCUGUACGGUACAGGGUCCAGCACUUUCACUUUGAGGAAAUUGGAGUGUUUCAAGCAGGCACAUGCCUUUGGACACAGUAGCAUGGAAUAAUUUGAUUGGGCUUCUGCUCCAAUUUGUCGGUUUCUGGAGCUGAGGUUAGAAUUAAUGGGGAUUGUUGGGGGCAUCCGAAUUUAGCCGUCAGAGGUGAAAUUCUUGGAUUUGUUAAAGACGAACUACUGCGAAAGCAUUUGCCAAGGAUGUUUNCGUUG
RNAcentral lists this ribosomal RNA (379 nucleotides) under uncultured eukaryote. Its description in RNAcentral is "partial 18S ribosomal RNA". It matches the Rfam family "Eukaryotic small subunit ribosomal RNA", at positions 592 to 975 of the family's 1831-position model. The record is from RNAcentral.